CCUACGGGGGGCUGCAGUCGAGAAUCAUUCACAAUGGGGGAAACCCUGAUGGUGCGACGCCGCGUGGGGGAAUGAAGGUCUUCGGAUUGUAAACCCCUGUCAUGUGGGAGCAAAUUAAAAAGAUAGUACCACAAGAGGAAGAGACGGCUAACUCUGUGCCAGCAGCCGCGGUAAUACAGAGGUCUCAAGCGUUGUUCGGAAUCACUGGGCGUAAAGCGUGCGUAGGCUGUUUCGUAAGUCGUGUGUGAAAGGCGCGGGCUCAACCCGCGGACGGCACAUGAUACUGGGAGACUAGAGUAAUGGAGGGGGAGGCGGAAUGCUCGGGGUAGCGGUGAAAGGAGGAGAUAGCGAGAGGAACACUGGUGGCGAGGGCGGGUUCCUGGACAGUAACUGACGCUGAGGCACGAAGGCCAGGGGAGCGAAAGGGAUUAGAUACCCCAGGAGUC
Molecule: ribosomal RNA, 446 nt
Filed under: uncultured bacterium
Lineage: Bacteria
Description: partial 16S ribosomal RNA
Rfam family: Bacterial small subunit ribosomal RNA
Source: RNAcentral